AGCAGCCGCGGUAAUUCCAGCUCCAAUAGCGUAUAUUAAAGUUGUUGCAGUUAAAAAGCUCGUAGUUGAAUUUCGAGACCGGCUUACUGGUCGUGCUAUUGUACGUACUGGUAUAAUCGGUUUCUCCUUUCUGACGAACUUUAAUGCCAUUAAUUUGGUGUUUUAGGGAAUCAGGACUGUUACUUUGAAAAAAUUAGAGUGUUUAAAGCAGGCUCACGCUUGAAUACAUUAGCAUGGAAUAACGGAAUAGGACGUUUGAUUCUAUUUUGUUGGUUUCUAGGAUCGACGUAAUGAUUAAUAGGGAUAGUUGGGGGCAUUAGUAUUCAAUUGUCAGAGGUGAAAUUCUUGGAUUUAUUGAAGACUAACUACUGCGAAAGCAUUUGCCAAGGAUGUUUUCAUUAAUCAAGAACGAAAGUUAGGGGAUCGAAGACGAUCAGAUACCGUCGUAGUCUUAACCAUAAACUAUGCCGACUAGGGAUCGGAUGAUGUUAAUUUUUAAUGACUCAUUCGGCGCCUU
RNAcentral lists this ribosomal RNA (517 nucleotides) under uncultured Glomus. Its description in RNAcentral is "SSU rRNA". It matches the Rfam family "Eukaryotic small subunit ribosomal RNA", at positions 569 to 1089 of the family's 1831-position model. The record is from RNAcentral. Lineage: Eukaryota; Fungi; Glomeromycota; Glomeromycetes; Glomerales; Glomeraceae.